UACGUAGGGGGCUAGCGUUGUCCGGAAUCAUUGGGCGUAAAGCGCGUGUAGGCGGUCCGGUAAGUCCGCUGUGAAAGUCGAGGGCUCAACCCUCGAAUGCCGGUGGAUACUGUCGGGCUUGAGUACGGGAGAGGCGAGUGGAAUUCCUGGUGUAGCGGUGGAAUGCGUAGAGAUCGGGAAGAACAUCAGUGGCGAAGGCGGCCUGCUGGGCUGUUGCUGACGCUGAGGCGCGACAGCGUGGGGAGCAAACAGG
Molecule: ribosomal RNA, 253 nt
Filed under: uncultured bacterium
Lineage: Bacteria
Description: partial 16S ribosomal RNA
Rfam family: Bacterial small subunit ribosomal RNA
Source: RNAcentral